UAUAUAUGUGUGUGUGUGUGUGUGUGUGUGCGCGCACACACACACACACACACAAAACAAUU
RNAcentral lists this microRNA precursor (62 nucleotides) under Podarcis lilfordi (Lilford's wall lizard). Lineage: Eukaryota; Metazoa; Chordata; Lepidosauria; Squamata; Lacertidae. The record is from RNAcentral.